This 585-nucleotide ribosomal RNA is filed under the name uncultured bacterium. Its description in RNAcentral is "partial 16S ribosomal RNA". It matches the Rfam family "Bacterial small subunit ribosomal RNA", at positions 355 to 1375 of the family's 1533-position model. The record is from RNAcentral.
UGGGGAAUUUUGGACAAUGGGGGAAACCCUGAUCCAGCCAUCCCGCGUGUGCGAUGAAGGCCUUCGGGUUGUAAAGCACUUUUGGCAGGAAAGAAACGUCGCGGGUUAAUACCCCGCNAAACUGACGGUACCUGCAGAAUAAGCACCGGCUAACUACGUGCCAGCAGCCGCGGUAAUACGUAGGGUGCAAGCGUUAAUCGGAAUUACUGGGCGUAAAGCGUGCGCAGGCGGUUCGGAAAGAAAGAUGUGAAAUCCCCAGAGCUUAACUUUGGAACUGCAUUUUUAACUACCGGGCUAGAGUGUGUCAGAGGGAGGUGGAAUUCCGCGUGUAGCAGUGAAAUGCGUAGNUAUGCGGAGGAACACCGAUGGCGAAGGCAGCCUCCUGGGAUAACACUGACGCUCAUGCACGAAAGCGUGGGGAGCAAACAGGAUUAGAUACCCUGGUAGUCCACGCCCUAAACGAUGUCAACUAGCUGUUGGGGCCUUGCGGGGCCUUGGUAGCGCAGCUAACGCGUGAAGUUACCGCCUGGGAGUACGGUCGCAAGAUUAAAACUCAAAUGAAUGACGGGGUCAUAGCUGUUUCCU